CCCGAGGUGGUGAAAUUGGUAGACGCGGUGGAUUCAAAAUCCACUAUCAGAGAUGAUGUGUCGGUUCGAGUCCGACCCCCGGGACCA
Molecule: transfer RNA, 87 nt
Filed under: Acinetobacter cumulans
Lineage: Bacteria; Pseudomonadati; Pseudomonadota; Gammaproteobacteria; Moraxellales; Moraxellaceae
Also listed under: 6 other names
Description: tRNA-Leu
Rfam family: tRNA
About the family: Transfer RNA (tRNA) molecules are approximately 80 nucleotides in length. Their secondary structure includes four short double-helical elements and three loops (D, anti-codon, and T loops). Further hydrogen bonds mediate the characteristic L-shaped molecular structure. tRNAs have two regions of fundamental functional importance: the anti-codon, which is responsible for specific mRNA codon recognition, and the 3' end, to which the tRNAs corresponding amino acid is attached (by aminoacyl-tRNA synthetases). tRNAs cope with the degeneracy of the genetic code in two manners: having more than one tRNA (with a specific anti-codon) for a particular amino acid; and 'wobble' base-pairing, i.e. permitting non-standard base-pairing at the 3rd anti-codon position.
Source: RNAcentral